ACUCAAAGGAAUUGACGGGGACCCGCACAAGCGGUGGAUCAUGUUCUUUAAUUCGAUGCUAAACGAAGAACCUUACCAGGGCUUGACAUCCCGAGAAUUACUCCGAAAGGAGUGAGUGCUUUAUUGAACUCGGUGACAGAUGAUGCAUGGCCGUCGUCAGCUCGUGUCGUGAGAUGUUUGGUUAAGUCCAUCAACGAGCGCAACCCUUGUGAUUAGUUGUAUUUUUCUAAUCAUACUGCCCCGGAAACGGGGAGGAAGGAGGGGAUGAGGUCAGGUCAGUAUUUCUCUUACGUCCUGGGCUAGAAACGUGAUACAAUGGCAGGUACAAUGCGCUGCGAAGCCGCGAGGUGAAGCAAAUCGCACCAAAGCCUGUCCCAGUUCGGAUUGGAGGCUGAAACUCGCCUCCAUGAAGUCGGAAUCGCUAGUAAUCGCAAGUCAGCAAAUUGCGGUGAAUACGUUCCCGGGUCUUGCACACACCGCCCGU
This 484-nucleotide ribosomal RNA is filed under the name uncultured bacterium. RNAcentral's name for it is "partial 16S ribosomal RNA". It matches the Rfam family "Bacterial small subunit ribosomal RNA", at positions 899 to 1397 of the family's 1533-position model. The record is from RNAcentral.